RNAcentral lists this ribosomal RNA (468 nucleotides) under uncultured bacterium. RNAcentral's name for it is "partial 16S ribosomal RNA". It matches the Rfam family "Bacterial small subunit ribosomal RNA", at positions 28 to 507 of the family's 1533-position model. The record is from RNAcentral.
GACGAACGCUGGCGGCGUGCUUAACACAUGCAAGUCGAACGGAAAGGCCCUGCUUUUGUGGGGUGCUCGAGUGGCGAACGGGUGAGUACCACGUGAGUAACCUGCCCUUGACUUUGGGAUAACUUCAGGAAACUGGGGCUAAUACCGGAUGGGAGCUCCUGCUGCAUGGUGGGGGUUGGAAAGUUUCGGCGGUUGGGGAUGGACUCGCGGCUUAUCAGCUUGUUGGUGGGGUGGUGGCUUACCAAGGCUUUGACGGGUGGCCGGCCUGAGAGGGUGACCGGCCACAUUGGGACUGAGAUACGGCCCAGACUCCUACGGGGGGCAGCAGUGGGGAAUAUUGCACAAUGGGCGGAAGCCUGAUGCAGCGACGCCGCGUGCGGGAUAACGGCCUUCGGGUUGUAAACCGCUUUCGCCUGUGACGAAGCGUGAAUGACGGUAAUGGGUAAAGAAGCACCGGCUAACUACGUG